This 1267-nucleotide long non-coding RNA is filed under the name Mus musculus (house mouse). Its description in RNAcentral is "long non-coding RNA chr18:90540759-90542026". Lineage: Eukaryota; Metazoa; Chordata; Mammalia; Rodentia; Muridae. The record is from RNAcentral.
CUGUUACAUUAUUAUGAUAAUGGCAUAUAACCCUAUGAAGUGGGUGAAGAAUCUUGUAAUUGACUUUUAAAAAUGACCAUGGUAUUUUGGGUGGCUUCAGCCUUUUCCUGUGCUGUUUAGUAGAGUGCACUGUCCACCACUGGAGGAAGAAAUGGCCCUCUUAGUAUAUCUUGAUUUUAGCCAAAGCAGCCUAGUAUUUUGUUUUGGUUUUAUUUUACAGCUUGACAUAACUUCUAAUAUUUCUGUUAAUUAUGAAUGCUUUCAAAAGUUAUAUAAACCAUGUUUUUAUGAUAUAUAAACUAAUUAUUUAAAAUUUAUUACCACACCUCUAUUGUGGGAGGCCAUAACAGGUUGGUGAUAUAAUCAACAUGUUAAAUUCAGAUUUCAUGAACAAGGGGAGAGAUCCUAGUUCUCUUCUCUAGACUCAGCUUUGCCUCUAUGACAGUCACAACCUCGCAUCUUUCAUCAGAAUGCAGUCGUGUCUAAGAGUGGGUAUUUUGUGAUAAUGUUUACUAUAGAUCAUUUGUUAAUUUUGAUGCCUUCAUUUUAGCUAAUUUCAGAAUUUUUAUUAGGUAAUGUCUAGGUCCUGUUCUUUGAGUAUCUUAGAGUGUGUUGAAAGGAUCCGCUGAGCAUUUACAAACAUGGUUUGUAGCUCUAACCCUGAAGUUACUUGGGGACUUUGCUUUGAUUGCCAAGGGAGCUUCUGGUUUCUGAUGCAAUACUAACCAAUAUUGCAUCAUAGUAAUGAAUUAAAGCAUGUAUAUCUGUAGAGCAAGAGAAUUGCUAAUUAUAGUCUGUGUCCAAGUGUUCUUUUCAUAUUUAAAAGCAACCAUUUUUAAUAUUUAAUCACCUAUCAUUAACUUUAUUGAUAAUUGUGUAUGUAUGUAGUCAUGGGGAAUGUUCAGAAAAUAAAAGAAUAUUCUCAAAUGGAAACUGGAGAUAAGCACUGUUAAAAGUUACUGUAACAAACUCCUCUAUAGAAUAAACUUCUUAGACUCUUUGGGAAGCUUCAUGGUAGUGGUCCCAAUGGUCAAGCCUUAUUGCAGGAGAAAAAACCUGAAGUCUGUACAGAUGCCUCAUUAAUGAUAAUGUGUGGUAAGAAGAGAGACGUGAAGAAAUAGGGAGUACCACUAUUACAUUUUAUUAUUGUUUAUCACUACCAAAUGUUAAAUGUAUCUUGUCUGGUCAAUCAUCCUUGUAAAUAAGUUCUCAAUAGGAAAAAAGAGUAAAGCACAGCUUUGCAUUAAUAAACAUAUGCACAGAGGUG